RNAcentral lists this ribosomal RNA (225 nucleotides) under uncultured Fluviicola sp. RNAcentral describes it as "partial 16S ribosomal RNA". It matches the Rfam family "Bacterial small subunit ribosomal RNA", at positions 568 to 792 of the family's 1533-position model. Lineage: Bacteria; Pseudomonadati; Bacteroidota; Flavobacteriia; Flavobacteriales; Crocinitomicaceae. The record is from RNAcentral.
UCCGCAGGCGGAUUUAUAAGUCAGUGGUGAAAGCCUACAGCUUAACUGUAGAACUGCCAUUGAUACUGUAAGUCUUGAAUUCGAUCGAAGUGGGCGGAAUGUGUAGUGUAGCGGUGAAAUGCUUAGAUAUUACACAGAACACCGAUAGCGAAGGCAGCUCACUAGGUCUGGAUUGACGCUCAGGGACGAAAGCGUGGGGAGCAAACAGGAUUAGAUACCCGCGUA